RNAcentral lists this ribosomal RNA (2361 nucleotides) under Listeria monocytogenes. RNAcentral describes it as "partial 23S ribosomal RNA". It matches the Rfam family "Bacterial large subunit ribosomal RNA", at positions 296 to 2649 of the family's 2925-position model. The record is from RNAcentral. Lineage: Bacteria; Bacillati; Bacillota; Bacilli; Caryophanales; Listeriaceae.
GUUGUAGGACACUCUAUACGGAGUUACAAAAGAAAGUUAUAAAUGAAGCGGUCUGGAAAGGCCCGCCAAAGACGGUAACAGCCCGGUAGUUGAAAUGGCUUUCCCUCCAGAGUGGAUCCUGAGUACGGCGGAACACGUGAAAUUCCGUCGGAAUCCGGGAGGACCAUCUCCCAAGGCUAAAUACUCCCUAGUGACCGAUAGUGAACCAGUACCGUGAGGGAAAGGUGAAAAGCACCCCGGAAGGGGAGUGAAACAGUUCCUGAAACCGUGUGCCUACAAGUAGUUAGAGCCCGUUAAUGGGUGAUAGCGUGCCUUUUGUAGAAUGAACCGGCGAGUUACGAUUUGUUGCAAGGUUAAGCGGAAAAAGCGGAGCCGUAGCGAAAGCGAGUCUGAAUAGGGCGCAUAAGUAACAGGUCGUAGACCCGAAACCAGGUGAUCUACCCAUGUCCAGGAUGAAGGUAAGGUAAUACUUACUGGAGGUCCGAACCCACGCACGUUGAAAAGUGCGGGGAUGAGGUGUGGGUAGCGGAGAAAUUCCAAUCGAACUUGGAGAUAGCUGGUUCUCUCCGAAAUAGCUUUAGGGCUAGCCUCGAGGUAAAGAGUCAUGGAGGUAGAGCACUGUUUGGACUAGGGGCCCUUCUCGGGUUACCGAAUUCAGAUAAACUCCGAAUGCCAUGUACUUAUACUCGGGAGUCAGACUGCGAGUGAUAAGAUCCGUAGUCGAAAGGGAAACAGCCCAGACCACCAGUUAAGGUCCCCAAAUAUAUGUUAAGUGGAAAAGGAUGUGGGGUUGCUUAGACAACCAGGAUGUUGGCUUAGAAGCAGCCACCAUUGAAAGAGUGCGUAAUAGCUCACUGGUCGAGUGACCCCGCGCCGAAAAUGUACCGGGGCUAAACAUAUUACCGAAACUGUGGAUGAACCUCUUUAGAGGUUCGUGGUAGGAGAGCGUUCUAAGGGCGGUGAAGUCAGACCGGAAGGACUGGUGGAGCGCUUAGAAGUGAGAAUGCCGGUAUGAGUAGCGAAAGAAGGGUGAGAAUCCCUUCCACCGAAUAUCUAAGGUUUCCUGAGGAAGGCUCGUCCGCUCAGGGUUAGUCGGGACCUAAGCCGAGGCCGAUAGGCGUAGGCGAUGGACAACAGGUAGAGAUUCCUGUACCAGUGCUAAUUGUUUAACCGAUGGGGUGACACAGAAGGAUAGGGAAUCGCACGAAUGGAAAUGUGCGUCCAAGCAGUGAGUGUGAGAAGUAGGCAAAUCCGCUUCUCGCGAAGCAUGAGCUGUGAUGGGGAAGGAAAUUAAGUACGGAAGUUCCUGAUUUCACGCUGUCAAGAAAAGCCUCUAGGAAGAGUAGUACUGCCCGUACCGCAAACCGACACAGGUAGAUGAGGAGAGAAUCCUAAGGUGAGCGAGAGAACUCUCGUUAAGGAACUCGGCAAAAUGACCCCGUAACUUCGGGAGAAGGGGUGCUCUAUUAGGGUGCAAGCCCGAGAGAGCCGCAGUGAAUAGGCCCAGGCGACUGUUUAGCAAAAACACAGGUCUCUGCAAAACCGUAAGGUGACGUAUAGGGGCUGACGCCUGCCCGGUGCUGGAAGGUUAAGAGGAGUGCUUAGCUUCGGCGAAGGUACGAAUUGAAGCCCCAGUAAACGGCGGCCGUAACUAUAACGGUCCUAAGGUAGCGAAAUUCCUUGUCGGGUAAGUUCCGACCCGCACGAAAGGCGCAACGAUCUGGGCACUGUCUCAACGAGAGACUCGGUGAAAUUAUAGUACCUGUGAAGAUGCAGGUUACCCGCGACAGGACGGAAAGACCCCGUGGAGCUUUACUGCAACCUGAUAUGGAAUGUUUGUACCGCUUGUACAGGAUAGGUAGGAGCCGAAGAGACGUGUGCGCUAGCAUACGAGGAGGCAAUGGUGGGAUACUACCCUGGCUGUAUGACCAUUCUAACCCGCCACGCUUAGCGCGUGGGGAGACAGUGUCAGGUGGGCAGUUUGACUGGGGCGGUCGCCUCCUAAAGAGUAACGGAGGCGCCCAAAGGUUCCCUCAGAAUGGAUGGAAAUCAUUCGCAGAGUGUAAAGGCACAAGGGAGCUUGACUGCGAGACUGACAAGUCGAGCAGGGACGAAAGUCGGGCUUAGUGAUCCGGUGGUUCCGCAUGGAAGGGCCAUCGCUCAACGGAUAAAAGCUACCCCGGGGAUAACAGGCUUAUCUCCCCCAAGAGUCCACAUCGACGGGGAGGUUUGGCACCUCGAUGUCGGCUCGUCGCAUCCUGGGGCUGUAGUCGGUCCCAAGGGUUGGGCUGUUCGCCCAUUAAAGCGGCACGCGAGCUGGGUUCAGAACGUCGUGAGACAGUUCGGUCCCUAUCCGUCGCG